This 250-nucleotide long non-coding RNA is filed under the name Nicotiana benthamiana. RNAcentral describes it as "long non-coding RNA (NBEN_LNC034988)". The record is from RNAcentral. Lineage: Eukaryota; Viridiplantae; Streptophyta; Magnoliopsida; Solanales; Solanaceae.
GGGGGUGAAUAGUGCGGCACGAGAAUAUUGAUAAAUAUUGCGGAAUUAAAAUUGCAGGAAUAAAAUAAAUUCGGUAAUUAAAACAGUAAGAAAAGAACACACCGAAUUUAUCCUGGUUCACCACAACUUAUGGUUAGUCCAGUCCCUGAGAGACUCUCUCGAGAUUCCACUAACUCCGUUAAGCGUACGGGUGCCUAACAAACCGUUACACUUGCUCGUAGAUGUACACUCUACAAGACUUCAACUUGCU